This 497-nucleotide ribosomal RNA is filed under the name uncultured bacterium. RNAcentral describes it as "partial 16S ribosomal RNA". It matches the Rfam family "Bacterial small subunit ribosomal RNA", at positions 28 to 507 of the family's 1533-position model. The record is from RNAcentral.
GAUGAACGCUGGCGGCGUGCCUAAUACAUGCAAGUCGAGCGAACGGACGAGAAGCUUGCUUCUCUGAUGUUAGCGGCGGACGGGUGAGUAACACGUGGAUAACCUACCUAUAAGACUGGGAUAACUUCGGGAAACCGGAGCUAAUACCGGAUAAUAUUUUGAACCGCAUGGUUCAAAAGUGAAAGACGGUCUUGCUGUCACUUAUAGAUGGAUCCGCGCUGCAUUAGCUAGUUGGUAAGGUAACGGCUUACCAAGGCAACGAUGCAUAGCCGACCUGAGGGGGUGAUCGGUCACACUGGAACUGAGACACGGUCCAGACUCCUACGGGAGGCAGCAGUAGGGAAUCUUCCGCAAUGGGCGAAAGCCUGACGGAGCAACGCCGCGUGAGUGAUGAAGGUCUUCGGAUCGUAAAACUCUGUUAUUAGGGAAGAACAUAUGUGUAAGUAACUGUGCACAUCUUGACGGUACCUAAUCAGAAAGCCACGGCUAACUACGUG